AAAACGAAUAAAUCGUAUAAAGUUCUAGAUAAAAAAUUUAUAAUGACUAAUUUUUAUCUAUAAGUCUUGACCAAAUUACGUGCCAGCAGUCGCGGUAAUACGUAGAAGACAAGUGUUAUUCAUCUUUAACAGGUUUAAAGGGUACCUAGACGGGAAAUCAAGCCAGUGUAAAACAGAGGUACUAAUUUCCUAGAGUUUUAUAUGUCAAGUUUGAACUAUCUGAGGAGAGAUGUAAUGCAGAGAUACAGAUAGGACGGAUCGCAGCGUAGGCGUACUUGUGUGUAAAAACUGACGUUGAGGGACGAAGCCCGGGGGAGCGAUAAGGAUUAGAUACCCUAGUAGUCCAGGGAGAAAAUUAUGAGUGCCAUAAACUAGACAAAUGUUUGGUCUAUAAAUGAAAGUGUAAGCAUUCCACCUCAUGAGUAAAGCGGCAACGCCGAAAUUGAAAUCAUUAGACCGUUUCUGAAACCAGUAGUGAAGUAUGUUAUUUAAUUCGAUGGUCCGCGAAUAACCUUACCACCUCUUGAAUCAUUUAGAUAAUGAACAAGCGCUGCACGGCUGUCUUCAGUUAAUGUCGUGAGACUAGGUUAAUUCCGCUAAUUAACGAAAACCCUUGUUUUAUUUUAUAUAUAUAGAACUGUUCACCAAUACAAUGGAAAGGAUAAAUGGGACCAAGACAAGU
Molecule: ribosomal RNA, 682 nt
Filed under: Bradymyces sp. LS-2015b
Lineage: Eukaryota; Fungi; Ascomycota; Eurotiomycetes; Chaetothyriales; Trichomeriaceae
Description: SSU rRNA
Rfam family: Bacterial small subunit ribosomal RNA
Source: RNAcentral